Molecule: non-coding RNA, 30 nt
Filed under: Mus musculus (house mouse)
Lineage: Eukaryota; Metazoa; Chordata; Mammalia; Rodentia; Muridae
Source: RNAcentral
UAGAGGGUCCCUCACGCCACUUGUAAAAUA